CGGGUGAGUAAUGGAUAAGUAACCUGCCCUUAAGUGGGGGAUAACACUUCGAAAGAAGUGCUAAUACCGCAUGUGGUGCUCUUUCACAAGAAGGAUCACUAAAACCGCAAGGUGCUUGAGGAGGGGCUUGUCUCCGAUUAGCUAGUUGGUGGGGUAACGGCCUACCAAGGCGAUGAUCGGUAGCUGGUCUGAGAGGAUGGUCAGCCACACUGGGACUGAGACACGGCCCAGACUCCUACGGGAGGCAGCAGCAAGGAAUCUUGGGCAAUGGGCGAAAGCCUGACCCAGCGACGCCGCGUGAGGGAUGACGGCCUUCGGGUUGUAAACCUCUUUUCUCAGGGAAGAAUAAUGACGGUACCUGAGGAAUAAGUCUCGGCUAACUACGUGCCAGCAGCCGCGGUAAUACGUAGGAGGCGAGCGUUAUCCGGAUUUAUUGGGCGUAAAGUGGGCGUAGGUGGUCUUUCAAGUCGGAUGUGAAAUCUCCCGGCUCAACUGGGAGGGGUCAUCCGAUACUGUUGGACUUGAGUACAGCAGGGGAAAAUGGAAUUCCCGGUGUAGUGGUGAAAUGCGUAGAUAUCGGGAGGAACACCAGAGGCGAAGGCGAUUUUCCAGGCUGAAACUGACACUGAGGCCCGAAAGCGUGGGGAGCGAACAGGAUUAGAUACCCUGGUAGUCCACGCCUUAAACUUUAUUUCUAGGUAUAGGG
RNAcentral lists this ribosomal RNA (706 nucleotides) under uncultured bacterium. RNAcentral's name for it is "bacterial SSU rRNA". It matches the Rfam family "Bacterial small subunit ribosomal RNA", at positions 103 to 827 of the family's 1533-position model. The record is from RNAcentral.